This 253-nucleotide ribosomal RNA is filed under the name uncultured bacterium. RNAcentral describes it as "partial 16S ribosomal RNA". It matches the Rfam family "Bacterial small subunit ribosomal RNA", at positions 524 to 776 of the family's 1533-position model. The record is from RNAcentral.
UACGAAGGGGGCUAGCGUUGCUCGGAAUUACUGGGCGUAAAGCGCACGUAGGCGGUCUUUUAAGUCGGGUGUGAAAUCCUGGAGCUCAACUCCAGAACUGCCUUCGAUACUGGAAGACUCGAGUCCGGGAGAGGUGAGUGGAACUGCGAGUGUAGAGGUGAAAUUCGUAGAUAUUCGCAAGAACACCAGUGGCGAAGGCGGCUCACUGGCCCGGUACUGACGCUGAGGUGCGAAAGCGUGGGGAGCAAACAGG